RNAcentral lists this ribosomal RNA (250 nucleotides) under uncultured bacterium. Its description in RNAcentral is "partial 16S ribosomal RNA". It matches the Rfam family "Bacterial small subunit ribosomal RNA", at positions 524 to 773 of the family's 1533-position model. The record is from RNAcentral.
UACGAAGGUCCCGAGCGUUGUUCGGAAUCACUGGGCGUAAAGGGAGCGUAGGCGGUAUGGUAAGUCAGAUGUGAAAUCCCGGGGCUCAACCCCGGAACUGCAUCCGAUACUGCCGUGCUAGAGGACUGGAGAGGCAACUGGAAUUCUCGGUGUAGCAGUGAAAUGCGUGGAUAUCGAGAGGAACACUCGUGGCGAAAGCGAGUUGCUGGACAGUAUCUGACGCUGAGGCUCGAAGGCUAGGGGAGCGAAA